Molecule: ribosomal RNA, 549 nt
Filed under: uncultured bacterium
Lineage: Bacteria
Description: bacterial SSU rRNA
Rfam family: Bacterial small subunit ribosomal RNA
Source: RNAcentral
GGGGAAUCUUCCGCAAUGGACGAAAGUCUGACGGAGCAACGCCGCGUGAACGAAGAAGGUCUUCGGAUUGUAAAGUUCUGUGAUUCGGGACGAAAGGGUUUGUGGUGAAUAAUCAUAGACAUUGACGGUACCGAAAAAGCAAGCCACGGCUAACUACGUGCCAGCAGCCGCGGUAAUACGUAGGUGGCAAGCGUUGUCCGGAAUUAUUGGGCGUAAAGCGCGCGCAGGCGGCUUCUUAAGUCCAUCUUAAAAGCGUGGGGCUCAACCCCAUGAGGGGAUGGAAACUGGGAAGCUGGAGUAUCGGAGAGGAAAGUGGAAUUCCUAGUGUAGCGGUGAAAUGCGUAGAGAUUAGGAAGAACACCGGUGGCGAAGGCGACUUUCUAGACGAAAACUGACGCUGAGGCGCGAAAGCGUGGGGAGCAAACAGGAUUAGAUACCCUGGUAGUCCACGCCGUAAACGAUGGAUACUAGGUGUAGGAGGUAUCGACCCCUCCUGUGCCGGAGUUAACGCAAUAAGUAUCCCGCCUGGGAAGUACGAUCGCAAGAUUA